This 253-nucleotide ribosomal RNA is filed under the name uncultured bacterium. RNAcentral's name for it is "partial 16S ribosomal RNA". It matches the Rfam family "Bacterial small subunit ribosomal RNA", at positions 524 to 776 of the family's 1533-position model. The record is from RNAcentral.
UACGGAGGGUGCAAGCGUUAUCCGGAUUCACUGGGUUUAAAGGGUGCGUAGGCGGGUAGGUAAGUCAGUGGUGAAAUCUCCGAGCUUAACUCGGAAACUGCCUUUGAUACUAUUUAUCUUGAAUAUUGUGGAGGUAAGCGGAAUAUGUCAUGUAGCGGUGAAAUGCUUAGAUAUGACAUAGAACACCUAUUGCGAAGGCAGCUUACUACGCAUAUAUUGACGCUGAGGCACGAAAGCGUGGGGAUCAAACAGG